UAGUAGUCUGAUUAGGAGAAAUCCCUAACG
RNAcentral lists this non-coding RNA (30 nucleotides) under Mus musculus (house mouse). Lineage: Eukaryota; Metazoa; Chordata; Mammalia; Rodentia; Muridae. The record is from RNAcentral.